RNAcentral lists this long non-coding RNA (255 nucleotides) under Hordeum vulgare. RNAcentral describes it as "long non-coding RNA (HVUL_LNC014412)". The record is from RNAcentral. Lineage: Eukaryota; Viridiplantae; Streptophyta; Magnoliopsida; Poales; Poaceae.
ACAGAAGUUCAUCGUCCCGGCCAUGGUGCUUGGGCAGGAGUUAUGGCCACCAUGUCUUGGUCCAUGCAUGUAUGUGAUGGGCAUGAGCGCCGUGGCAAGACAAAUGGGGACGGGACACCAAGGUAGACGAGCGCGCGGCCUGGUUGCAGUACGCGGUAGCAAGGUCAGCUAGAGCAUGGUGGCGGUCGUGGCGAGGUCAAGGAGCGGCAGAGACGUUGCAAAAGGGCCUGGCGGCGUUCUACUGGUCGCCUCAAC